AUUGCCCUAGUAACGGCGAGUGAAGCGGCAACAGCUCAAAUUUGAAAUCUGGCUUUCGGGCCCGAGUUGUAAUUUGUAGAGGAUGAUUUUGAUGCGGUGCCUUCCGAGUUCCCUGGAACGGGACGCCAUAGAGGGUGAGAGCCCCGUCUGGUUGGAUGCCAAAUCUCUGUAAAUCUCCUUCGACGAGUCGAGUAGUUUGGGAAUGCUGCUCUAAAUGGGAGGUAUAUGUCUUCUAAAGCUAAAUACCGGCCAGAGACCGAUAGCGCACAAGUAGAGUGAUCGAAAGAUGAAAAGCACUUUGAAAAGAGAGUUAAAAAGUACGUGAAAUUGUUGAAAGGGAAGCGUUUAUGACCAGACUUGGGCUUGGUUAAUCAUCUGGGGUUCUCUCCAGUGCACUUUUCCAGUCCAGGCCAGCAUCAGUUUUCGCCGGGGGAUAAAGGCUUCGGGAAUGUGGCUCCCCUCGGGGAGUGUUAUAGCCCGUUGUGUAAUACCCUGGUGGGGACUGAGGUUCGCGCUUCUGCAAGGAUGCUGGCGUAAUGGUCAUCAACGACCCGUCUUGAAACACGGACCAAGGAGUCGUCUUCGUAUGCGAGUGUUCGGGUGUCAAACCCCUACGCGUAAUGAAAGUGAACGCAGGUGAGAGCUUCGGCGCAUCAUCGACCGAUCCUGAUGUUCUCGGAUGGAUUUGAGUAAGAGCAUACGGGCCGGACCCGAAAGAAGGUGAACUAUGCCUGUGUAGGGUGAAGCCAGAGGAAACUCUGGUGGAGGCUCGCAGCGGUUCUGACGUGCAAAUCGAUCGUCAAACAUGGGCAUGGGGGCGAAAGACUAAUCGAACCUUCUAGUAGCUGGUUUCCGCCGAAG
RNAcentral lists this ribosomal RNA (861 nucleotides) under Fusarium graminearum. RNAcentral's name for it is "LSU rRNA". It matches the Rfam family "Eukaryotic large subunit ribosomal RNA", at positions 74 to 966 of the family's 3401-position model. The record is from RNAcentral. Lineage: Eukaryota; Fungi; Ascomycota; Sordariomycetes; Hypocreales; Nectriaceae.